GAUGAUGCUAACAAUCGAGGCAUUUGUAUUAUUUUCAAAUGAAUUAGGCAUCCGUGCACUAAGCUACCUAUCAUAAGCACGGGACUGAU
Trypanosoma brucei brucei TREU927 is the source of this 89-nucleotide small nucleolar RNA. The record is from RefSeq and is a predicted model, not a curated record. Lineage: Eukaryota; Euglenozoa; Kinetoplastea; Trypanosomatida; Trypanosomatidae.